GGGGGUGAUCGGUUUCGACAUUGGUCGGCAUUUCAGGGGAAGCGGGUCGAGGAUGCCUGGUUAUCUCGUUAACGCUCCUGGCAAACCAAUAGGUGCCAAUUCCAAGCGCACCGACUUCGCCCUCGCCGCCUGAGCGAGCCUCGAAGUCCGUCAGCCUGAGUUAGUUCUCGUCUCAGUGUCUGGCGUCAGCUAGAGAACUUGCUGCGCAGCCAUGUCGGGGGGCUGCGCGGGACUCCUACUCGACUGGGCCUGUCAGCGGACGUGUGCGUGCGAGCGCUGGGGCCGAGAAAAUCCGCAGCGCACUGCACCCGGAGAAGCCCUGGUUUCCCGUCAAUGGACGCGGGUUCAAUUCCCGCCACCUCCACCA
RNAcentral lists this transfer-messenger RNA (367 nucleotides) under Dermatophilaceae. RNAcentral's name for it is "Pedococcus sp001428025 Standard tmRNA". It matches the Rfam family "transfer-messenger RNA". From Rfam's summary of the family: Bacterial tmRNA, also known as 10Sa RNA or SsrA, is named for its dual tRNA and mRNA-like properties. Lineage: Bacteria; Bacillati; Actinomycetota; Actinomycetes; Micrococcales. The record is from RNAcentral.